Long non-coding RNA from Trematomus bernacchii (emerald rockcod), 727 nucleotides. RefSeq lists it as uncharacterized. The transcript is spliced from 3 exons. Lineage: Eukaryota; Metazoa; Chordata; Actinopteri; Perciformes; Nototheniidae. The record is from RefSeq and is a predicted model, not a curated record.
CUCAAUGAGGACCUUCCAGACAUAGUUACUACAUACGAAAGAGAUCCUGGUAACCUGCAUUUAAAGUUGAAGCACUUGGACAUUAUUCAAAACACUACCACCAGGUCAGACCUAACUUCAAGUGAUACCGAGAAAGGGAUGGACACAUAUAGAGCUGCCGAGCCAAGAUGGGAUGCGAGGCUCAUACUCCCUCCACUGCUCUGGCCUCCAAAAUCAGCUUCCUAUACUAGACACAGAUGCAGAAGAGGAGCGUACAGUGCAUUCUUGGACCGUGUGGAAGAGAAACUCUCAAGAUCAUGGAAAAAUAGAUCCUAACUUUGUCUUUUUUAAUUAUUUAAAAAUCAAAUAUAUAUGUACAUAUCCCUGAUAAUGAUCAAAUAGGGACAUAUUUGGAGAUUCUAGUAGCUUUAAGGUUCUGGCGGUCAACAUGCAGGGUCAUAAAGGUCAUACAACCACAUUAAGACGCCCACUGACCACGGACAGCUGCUCACCCGGUUCCCCAAGAAUUAUAAACACGCCAAGCCUGCACAUGUUUCGAAGCAUAUCUGAAAUAGCUGAACAUAUGCGUUCAAGGAGUAAUCCGUGACUCUGGGCAUAACUCGCAGACUAAAUAUAAAAUGAAAAGAAUAUCAGUCACUGCAUUAAACCUCAUGACCCACACGCUGCCAUGUGUUUGUGUUAUUUUAAUCCCCUGUUAUCCUGUCAAAUGCUGAAAAAUGUAAUGUAA